This 509-nucleotide long non-coding RNA is filed under the name Calidris pygmaea (Spoon-billed sandpiper). Its description in RNAcentral is "lncRNA (ENSCPGG00000000587.1)". The record is from RNAcentral. Lineage: Eukaryota; Metazoa; Chordata; Aves; Charadriiformes; Scolopacidae.
UUUUAAAUAGGUGCCAAGAUAAUGAGGCAAAGUCUUGUCUUCAACUCAAUGGCAUUUCUCUGUGUGUGUCAUGUGAUACCUUUGAAACACUGUCUUCUGUAUGGAAGGAUCAGAAGGCUGGCCUAGAAAAAGGGGAGAAUGUGUGCCCACAUCCUUCUUGACAAGGGAGAGCACUGGAAUUGCAAGAAAUCUCUGAAUUAAGAGAGAUGGCAAAAAAAAAAAAGGAAAAAAAAACAAAUGUAGACAGAGCCAAGUAAGAGUGAAAUAAAAAAUGAAUCAAGAGAAGCCUGUGUGUAAAGAAGCAAAGAGGGAAAAUGAAAAUUUUAAUGCAACUGGCACUGGAGACAUAUCCCAAUGAAGCCCCUCAGAAGACUGGCAUGCUGAAAAAUGCACAGUACUGGGAAAAGGUAAGGAGAACCAGAUUCUCAACACAGUCCAGCACUUUGGAGGAGUUUGCAAGAGUCUAUCCCAGCUGGAGCUUGUACGCUCAGCCUGCAGUAAAUCAUGAG